Chelonia mydas (Green sea turtle) is the source of this 2602-nucleotide long non-coding RNA. RefSeq lists it as uncharacterized. The transcript has 3 exons. The record is from RefSeq and is a predicted model, not a curated record. NCBI's taxonomy places the organism in Eukaryota, Metazoa, Chordata, Testudines, Cheloniidae.
GUGAGGAAACAGCCUAAAUUAGGAGCUCUGGGGGAAGGGGUUUACCACAGGGUUAUAAGGAUAUGAAUAAGUUACUUGGGAAGGCAAUUGGAGCUGACUAUAAAUUCAAGGAAUUGAAGGACUAGCAAAUGAAGAGGCAGGAACACAAAAUUAAAAGAAAUCAUAAAACCAGUCUUGCCCUGUUGAGUCAGAGAGCUCAGAAGUUCUUUGGUUGAUUUUUGCUGCAGAGGGAAUACGGGGGAAACUGCCAAUGAAUUUCAAGCUGUAAAAGCUCCAAUUUGAUCACGGGCAUUUUAUUGUCAAUAUUUUAAGACAUCAGUACGUUAACUGAUUCUGAAAUCUAACUGUAAAAGCCAGGAGACAGGAUCCUCUUAUGGUCACGUUGGCUUUUUCUCACAAACGCCCAUUUUCAACCUUAUCUCAUAGAUUUUGAAUAAUCACCUGGAACCAGAACAUACAGUAACAGAGCUGCCUGUUUAUAAGUGUAUGGAAAAGAGAACCAAUGUCUUCACAACUGGGAACCUGAAGUUCAGUUUCUGAGUCCAUAUUUCCAUACUCAAAUAACAAUGAUGGGACUUUCAAAGAUGCUGACCCACCCACAGUCUCAUGGACAUGUGGGCUUAGGAGCUGAAUCUCUGCACUCAGGCCCUGAUUCAGAAAGAUGCUUAACCACAUGAGUAAUUGGGUUGAUCUUGGUCGAACUACUCGUGGUCUUAAAGCUAGGCACGUAUUUAAGUUCCUUGCUGAAUUGGGUCUCCAUAUGUGCUGGAUUCUGUGCUCUAUGGGCAGGCAAUCCUGUAGAGAACUUGGGAGUCUGUAUUCCCCCAGGGAGGGAGUAGGAUGGGCAUCUCGGAGCUGGAACUGGUAUCAGCCCUCUGUUUCCCUGGAGAUACAGAGCCAGUCUUAGAGAUGGGCAAGUAUUGUAGCCAUGUGGGGCACACUCAGCCGGCCAAAGCUUUGGAGCUGGGAUUGGUGGAAAUACAGCUUUUUUUUAAAAAGCAAGAAGAUCGAGGCAGGGGUUGGGCAUCAUGUAGAGGGGGGAGCAGUGGACAUCCCCUGCUAGAGGGGAGAAACGGCACCUCCUAAGCUUUGUUGGGCAGACAAGGUCUCUUACUCUGAUUUACCACACAGGAUGUAAGGGAGCCCUGAUCUCUGAUGGAGGCUUCUAGGAGCUACGGCAAUACAAAUAAGUGAAAAGGUGGGGAGGAAAGGGAACAAAUAUGAUCGUGUGAUUUCUUGUUCGUCCACAUAGGCAUCAUGUUUCCCUUCUAUUUUAGUCCUUAAUUACAUGGUGGCUUUGGCAGCAAGGUUGGAUUUACACUUUCUUUUUAAUACACUACAGGGCAUUGGAGGACAAAGUGGGCAUGAAAAGGAGCAAGAGCCAAGUGAAAUAAAGCAGACAGUAGAAAGGUGUGGGGGAGGGGACUACUCCGUGAGAGCGAGGAUGCUGAGCCUGGCAAAAAUCGCUCUCUGAUGAUGCUAAAAAUUUCAAGUCAGUGAAUUGUUUGGAACAACCAGAUUUAUGCACACUACCAACACCAGCUCUGGGAGAAAAUGUUGGAGUUUUGCCAAGUCUUUGCCAGAUAAAACUUGCAAAUGUCCUCACUGUAGAGAGUCAACAGGUAACAAAACAUGCUGUAAGAGCAACAUUUGAUUCUUCAGCUGCUUCUGUUCGAGCCAUUGUUUCUGCGAUCUCCAUCAGAAGAUAUGCUAGGCUGAGGUUUCUGGAGGGAGCUCUGAAGAUGUAAAUCCAAGUUUGCGGAUCUCUCCUUUGCGGGAGAAAGAGGGUGUAGCACUAUAAUGGAAGAUGUCCUUGAAAAGAGGAGAUGAGACGCACUGGGUGUUCCUCAGCAGUCAGGAGAAGACCUGGAAUACCUGGUUUUCAAGUCCUAGAGAUGGCAAAAUCCAUCAUCUUCCUCCAUUUCACACUUGAUAAGGAAGAUAAUGAUAACUUCUGCAAUAUCCUCCUUUAAUAGCUUUCUCAUCAAAGGAGAAGGUGUAUCAAAUUGUGAAAAAGAGGUAAAUCAUCUUCAACAUCUGCGUUGGGCCUUACGCCCCAAGUGUGACAUAAUGCAUGAGAACUGCAGUCCAAUUUUAAUCCAUUUGCCCUCCUUACCUUUCAAAGACUGUGUGUGUCACUUCUUCCAGUACUGGGUAUCUAUAACCAGAGACAAGUGGAUUUUAGAAAGCAUUCACAUGGGUCUCUGAUACAAUCUGAACCAUUCCUCCUUCCGGUUUCCUCUCCCAUCCCUAUUUGGAGUCCCCUCUCACAACAGCCUGUUGAGAUCAGAGGUUCUUGAUCCUCUGAAGGUAGGGGCUAUAGUCGAGGUACAGAGGCAGAGAAUUUUAUUCCAAAUACUUCCCAGUUCAGAAGAAGGAUGGAGAUCUGUGCUGUAUACUGGACCUCAUAAAGCUCUGUACUUUCAUCAGAAGACUCUGUUUUGGAAUGCUAAUUCUAGCCUCUAUCAUACUCAUCCUUUCUCCAAAAGAAAAGGAGUACUUGUGGCACCUUAGAGACUAACCAAUUUAUUUGAGCAUGAGCUUUCGUGAGCUACAGCUCACUUCAUCGGAUGCAUACUGUGGAAACUGCAGAAGACAUUAU